CCUACGGGUGGCAGCAGUGAGGAAUAUUGGUCAAUGGGCGGAAGCCUGAACCAGCCAAGUAGCGUGCAGGAUGACGGCCCUACGGGUUGUAAACUGCUUUUAUACGGGAAUAACGCGCCUUACGUGUAGGGCUUUGUAUGUACCGUAUGAAUAAGGACCGGCUAAUUCCGUGCCAGCAGCCGCGGUAAUACGGAAGGUCCGGGCGUUAUCCGGAUUUAUAGGGUUUAAAGGGAGCGUAGGCCGGAUGUCAAGCGUGCUGUGAAAGGUCCGGGCUCAACCCGGGCCUUGCAGCGCGAACUGGAGGGCUUGAGUCCGCGGAGGGCAGGCGGAAUUCGUGGUGUAGCGGUGAAAUGCUUAGAUAUGACGAAGAACCCCGAUUGCGAAGGCAGCUUGCUGCAGCGGAACUGACGCUGAUGCUCGAAAGCGCGGGUAUCGAACAGGAUUAGAUACCCGAGUAGUC
RNAcentral lists this ribosomal RNA (460 nucleotides) under uncultured bacterium. Its description in RNAcentral is "partial 16S ribosomal RNA". It matches the Rfam family "Bacterial small subunit ribosomal RNA", at positions 338 to 795 of the family's 1533-position model. The record is from RNAcentral.